Molecule: ribosomal RNA, 699 nt
Filed under: uncultured Bacillus sp.
Lineage: Bacteria; Bacillati; Bacillota; Bacilli; Caryophanales; Bacillaceae
Description: bacterial SSU rRNA
Rfam family: Bacterial small subunit ribosomal RNA
Source: RNAcentral
GCUGGCGGCGUGCCUAAUACAUGCAAGUCGAGCGAACUGAUUAGAAGCUUGCUUCUAUGCGUUAGCGGCGGACGGGUGAGUAACACGUGGGCAACCUGCCUGUAAGACUGGGAUAACUUCGGGAAACCGAAGCUAAUACCGGAUAGGAUCUUCUCCUUCAUGGGAGAUGAUUGAAAGAUGGUUUCGGCUAUCACUUACAGAUGGGCCCGCGGUGCAUUAGCUAGUUGGUGAGGUAACGGCUCACCAAGGCAACGAUGCAUAGCCGACCUGAGAGGGUGAUCGGCCACACUGGGACUGAGACACGGCCCAGACUCCUACGGGAGGCAGCAGUAGGGAAUCUUCCGCAAUGGACGAAAGUCUGACGGAGCAACGCCGCGUGAGUGAUGAAGGCUUUCGGGUCGUAAAACUCUGUUGUUAGGGAAGAACAAGUACAAGAGUAACUGCUUGUACCUUGACGGUACCUAACCAGAAAGCCACGGCUAACUACGUGCCAGCAGCCGCGGUAAUACGUAGGUGGCAAGCGUUAUCCGGAAUUAUUGGGCGUAAAGCGCGCGCAGGCGGUUUCUUAAGUCUGAUGUGAAAGCCCACGGCUCAACCGUGGAGGGUCAUUGGAAACUGGGGAACUUGAGUGCAGAAGAGAAAAGCGGAAUUCCACGUGUAGCGGUGAAAUGCGUAGAGAUGUGGAGGAACACCAGUGGC